AUAUUGGACAAUGGGCGAAAGCCUGAUCCAGCAAUGCCGCGUGAGUGAUGAAGGCCUUAGGGUUGUAAAGCUCUUUUACUGGGGAUGAUAAUGACAGUACCCAGAGAAUAAGCCUCGGCUAACUCCGUGCCAGCAGCCGCGGUAAUACGGAGGGGGCUAGCGUUGUUCGGAAAUACUGGGCGUAAAGCGCACGUAGGCGGCUCAGCAAGUCAGAGGUGAAAUCCCAGGGCUCAACCCUGGAACUGCCUUUGAAACUGCUAGGCUAGAAUCAUGGAGAGGUCAGUGGAAUUCCGAGUGUAGAGGUGAAAUUCGUAGAUAUUCGGAAGAACACCAGUGGCGAAGGCGACUGACUGGACAUGUAUUGACGCUGAGGUGCGAAAGCGUGGGGAGCAAACAGG
RNAcentral lists this ribosomal RNA (398 nucleotides) under uncultured bacterium. RNAcentral's name for it is "bacterial SSU rRNA". It matches the Rfam family "Bacterial small subunit ribosomal RNA", at positions 361 to 776 of the family's 1533-position model. The record is from RNAcentral.